RNAcentral lists this long non-coding RNA (8078 nucleotides) under Pelobates cultripes (western spadefoot toad). The record is from RNAcentral. Lineage: Eukaryota; Metazoa; Chordata; Amphibia; Anura; Pelobatidae.
CCUACCUGUUAUUCUAUUCUAUUAUUAUAUACCUAUUGCUACACAGAUUGGCACCUCAGUUCUGUCCAUCCCAGGGGUCUGGCCUGUCCUUAAUUGUGCCCCAAUGAAUGGCCUGCUUUGUCUGUGCCCUCUUGAUUUGGCCUGCGCUGUCUGUGCCAUUGCCUCUGGACGCCCGGGCCUGGCUGUUCCCAUACGUACACUUGUGCCAUGCAUGCGUUAUCCAGCUUGCUUCUGCCACUAUAUUGCGGUGCCGCCCCGGUUAUUCUGCUGGUGAUCUUUGUCAUCAGUGUAUCCUAGGUGUCACUUUGCAUACGGCCCCCUGCUAUGGAGCCCUCAACACAAGAGCAGAGCUUGCAGGCUAUGAUCAAUGCGGCUGUUUCUGCCUCCGUGGAAAAAGCCCUGGCCAGAGCCCUCCCGCAAGAUUGGGGCUCUAGAGGGACCCCUCACACGGCAGAUGACUCUGCUGAGUCAGACUCUCCCAAGAAAGAUCAGGCAAGGGCCCACAAGCGCUAUUGGAAUGGUGAAGACCCUUAGCCAUGCUCCCAGAAGGAAAAUGCUCUCCCACCUGGCGCAGGCGCUCACCCCCCCUACCCAUGGCCGUCCUAGAAGAAGGGUGGGCGGACCAGUCCCCCUCAGAUGAGGAAGACAGGUGGGGCAAAGAAGACACAGACGACUCCAUGUGGCCCCGUGAUUCAGUCGAAGCUUCCACAUAAAGGACACCGGUUUCCCUACUGGACGACUAUGUCUUCUUGGACGCUAAGCGCGAACCCCUGUUCGACCCUCUGUCCAUCAGACACCUGGCCAAGGGUGAAUCCGGGGAAUCCUUCAUCAAAGAGCUUCACAAGCACGUGAACCUCUUCACCACCCUGAGCAAAUCCCAGUCCUCAAUGAAGAGGGUCUUCCGCCCACAGAGUUCCUGGCUUUUGGCAGGGCUGGAUGACAGCUACCAGUUCUCCUCACUCUGUUGCAUGCAGGCAGAGUGUUUCACUGCAGGGACAUGUGGCGGGAGGUGUCCUCAGAUGCGCGUGUGCUUCAGACUGUUCGGGGCUAUAUCAUAGAUUUUCACUUCCCGUCGACACAGGUUCACCCUCCCCCGUUUCCUGUGUCUUCGAGGGUGCAGCAGUCCCUGAUAUAUGCAGAGAUUCGAGCCCUUUACAAAAAGGGUGCGCUCCAGUGGGCACUGGACAAUGGAGGUUUCUUCCGCUCCAUAUUUCUGUUGAGGAACAAAUCUGGGGACUUCGGCCCGGUGAUCAACCUGAUAAACCUGAAUGCCUUUGUGGUUUACCAUCAUUUCAAGAGGGAGAGCAUCCAUCUCCUGCAGAACCUCCUAUGCCCAAUAGAUUGGUUCACGAGACUGGACCUGAAGGGCGCCUAUCUCUCGGUGCCGGUGGACCCUACAUGUCGUCGGUUCCUCUGGUAAGGAACCUUGCCAAUUCACCUGCCUCCCUUUCGGUCUCCGCUCAGCACCGUGGUGUUUGACCAAACUGUUGAAACCGGUGACGACACGCCUCCACUCCGAGGGUGUUCGUUGUAUCAUCUACAUGCUGAUCUUGCGAUGGCUGAAUUAUCACACGGGCUUUGCAGUCUCCUUGUUCGAGCCGCUAGGUUUCAUGGUCAACCGGGAAAAAUUGUCUCUCUCACCGUCUCAGGUGAUUGAAUUCUUGGACUUCGAAUAGACGUCAGGGAGUACCUCCUACGCCUUCCUCAGUCCAAGAUCUCGACCAUUCGGAAGGAAAUCCGAAUCACUACAGGGCCAUGCAACGCCUGAAGGCCCACUUCCUCCGCAAGAGACCCUCCUACGACCAAGUGAUUCCCCUCAUGCCGGAUGUGAAGACCGAACUGCGCUGGUGGCUGCUUUGCAUGUCUGCCUGGAACGGCAAGGCAAUUUAUGGACCGACCCUGGAUUUCGUCCUGGAGUCGGACGCGAGUCUAUGGAGUUGGGGAGUCACUUGUUCAACCAGCUCCACGGGAUGCCCAUGGUCGGAGAUGGAGUCGGAGUAGCACAUAAACUGCCUGGAACUGAUUGCAGGCUCAUUCGCAAUCCAGAGCUUAGCGAGUCACUUUUCCGAUUGUUGCGUUCUCAGGAUGGACAACAUCUCAGCAGUACAGUACAUCAACCACCUGGGAGGGGCCCGCUCCCGGAUGCUUUCAGAGGUGACGAAGGAGAUCUACAGCUUCUGCUUCCAUGGCAACAUCACUCUCCAGGCGGAAUAUUUCCCGGGGUUGUCGAAUCUGACGGCGGACUGGUUCUCCAGACAUUGGAGGGACGCCAGCGACUGGAGUCUCCUUCGUUUUGGUUUUCUCUAUCGCGGACCGGAGGGGCCCGAUCACAGUGGACCUCUUCGCAUGAACUAUCAGAUCCCAACCUACUUAAGUCAGCUUCCAGACCCGGCUUGCUUGGCGGUGGAUGCUUUUCAGGUGUGGCGAUCUGUCUCUGGGAGCUUAUGAGUUUCCUCCAUUUGCUAUAAUCUCCGGUGGCCUCUGGCGCCUUCCUCGCCAGUGCCUCUCUCCAGGACAUCCUACGUUCGACUGACUGGUCCUGGGAAGACACCUUCUGACAAUUUUAUUUCAGACCAGCGGUUAAUGCUUCUUUUGCAUUGUUGUCUGAGCAUUAAAACAGCAAAUAUGAAGCCGCCUGUCAUGUUAUAAAAUUGUAGAUUAUAACGAUCAUCUUAAUUUUAUUAAUAUAGGAGGUGAAUAUUUCCCUCCCAGUUUCACCCUACCCUAGUUCCUUUUUUGUCAUUUAAUUUGACUGCCUCUGGUUGGUGGAUUGUUCUUCAGGUUUCUGAUUAGGUAUGUCACUUUUUUUUUUUCAGGAAAGUCUGGGGUGAGAUUUCUAUUGAUAUUGUACUAUCCUUAUUUGAUUAUGAGGGCUUCAUGUUUUUCACAGUACAUUUCAUUUGCUAACCAACUCUUUUGACUUUGUGUAUCUCGUUUAGUUUAAUGGUUCAUCUACGGAUCCACGUUCAAGUUCUUCUUCUGGAUGAAGGUUAUCGGUUGGCUUUGUUUGACUUCUACUGCUAGAUGUAUAUGAUUGUUUCUGUUCUUUGUUUUUGUUGCAGCUUGAAAGAGGAAAUAGUUUGUUGGGAGGGGACUUUUAUUGUUCCUGACUUUUUUUCUGAUUGGUGGUUUCUCUCUAUGUUAAUGUGCUGUUGUGGCGUUCUAGUAAAGAGAGACUUAAGCAAAUAUUCGCCUUCUUUCAUUAAUAACAUUAAGAUUAUAGUUACACUAAAGCUAGUAUAAACUACAAUUUUAAUUACCAUUGGGUCAGACCAUAUCAAGUGUAGCAGUGAAUUAACCCCUAUGUGACCAGACCGUUAUUUCAAUUUUCUUACCAUUAAGGACCAGGGUUGUUUUUACAUUUCUGCGGUGUUAGUUUAGCUGUAAUUUUCCUCUUACUCAUUUACUGUACCCACACAUAUGAUUAUUAUAUACCGUUUUUCUCGCCAUUAAAGGGUCUUUCUGAAGAUACCAUUAUUUUCAUCAUAUCAUAUGAUUUACUAUUAAAAAUAAAUUAUAAAAUAUGAUGAAAAAAUAAAUACACUUUUUCUAACUUUGACCGCCAAAAAACCUGUGCUAAAUAGUUUCGAAAUUUUUUCCUGAGUUUAGAAAUACCCAAUGUUAACAUGUUCUUUUCUUUUGCAAGCACAAAUUGCAUUUUGCUAUUUCCAAACCAUUUUUUUUUUUUUUUUUUAAAUUAACGAAAGUUACAUUGUAACACUGAUAUCUGUCAGGAAUCCCUGAAUAGCUCUUCACAUGUAUAUGGCAACCUAAGGUACUAAACUUGGGGUAUUUUGACUCUUUCAUGCAACCAUUUUACCACUAUUAUAUGCCAAAAUAAAAAAUGGUGAUUGAGAACUUUAAGGGUUACUGCCAAAGAACACCCCAAUAUGUGUUCAGCAACAUCUCCUGGGUACAGUGAUACCACCCAUGUUAUAGGUGUGUCGGGUUCCCUGGGAGCUAAAAGACCUUAUUUGGAAGGUGCGCAUUCCAGUUUUCCAACUUGGAAUUUUCACAGCUGGUCAUCAUGCACACAUGUCCUAUUUAGGAAAUUUUUGAAGCCGGCCAGUGUAAUUUAUCACCAUCAAACCAUAUAUUUUUGAAAAGUGGCCACCCUAGGGUAUUUCAAAUGCUGGUAUUUUAACACUUUUCAUGCACUAAUUCUACCACCAGUCUUUUGGGUACAAAUUUUUUGUUAUUUUUCUCUCACAUUGUACUUUAGGCAUGAAUUCUCAGUUCCUGUUAUAUUUUACUGACCAAGAACACCCAAAUAUGUGCUCAGCAACAUCUCCUGAGUACAGUGAUACCACCUAUGCAUAGGUUUGGGUUAUUUGAGGGGUGCAAUGCCAAACAUCUGACAUGUGUUUAUUAAAUUUGACACAUCUUCUUUGCCUAUCUUCUUUUGGGGGAGCUUUUUACAUAUCUCAAUUUAUUUUCUUGCCGUGAACGUGCAUAUAUUUGAAAAGUUGACACCCCAAGGUAUUGAAUAUGGAGUUUUUUUUUUUUAAUUCUUUAUUUUUGAAUUUUCAUGAGUGUUUUCAGGUGUGAGGGUAACAGAAAAAAAAGGUAGGGUAACAGACAAAAAAAAGGUAGGGUAACAGUAUGUGUUAACAAGAGUACAAUUUCAGGCAUUUCACAAUUACAAUUGUAAUUAUAGUGUCUUGCAUUAUGUAGUCUCAUUGCAUGUAACAAUCUUAAGUUGCUAAUUAACAUACAUUUUUCAGGAUUCAGGAUAACAUAGUAGAAAAGUGGUGUGGGGGUGAUCUUCGUGAACAACAGAUCUAUAGAUUUCUCAAGUUGCUAGUUCUAUGUUUUGAGUUGUACCGCCUGGUUUCUGUUUUGUGGGCUGCUAGACUCGGUACGUAGGCCUGGGUUUUUAACUUCUUGAGCAUGCUUAUUCUUGUUUGUUGCCUUAAGUAGUGGUGACAUUGUCCAUGUGGUCUGUAACGUUACAGAGGGGGCAAGGGGGUACUAAACUUGGAGGUGGGGGCGGGUUGUGAGUAUAUGGAGAGGGGCAGUCGCCCAGAUCGGGUGUGGGGGUCUCCCAUGUGUCUUCAGGUCGCCUUGUGGUGGUUGGUUUUAUGCUGGGUGUAAUGUGUGUUCAGGUCGGAUGGUGUUUUUAUGACUCUUGAGUGUAGGUGAGUGACCUUGGGAUGUGGGAGUUUUUUAAUUGUGUGGUGUAAGUGUGACGGUAGUAAUCUGUAUCACCAUCUAGUAUUCCAUUUUCCCAAUAGCAGAAUAACCACAAUAAUCCACAGUGUAAAAUAACGCUGGUAUCGACAGAUAAUCCACACAUGAACUAAAGCUUAAUGCUGGAACAAGACUGAUUUACUGGAAUACAGGGCACACAGUUUAUACAAUACCAAACUCCUCCUCUGGGCCAGGCUAGAUAAUUUGAUUUGAGCAACAUGCUUAACUCAAUUAUCUACUGGCCAGAAAAAUUACAGUUUUUCCAAUUUUUUUUUAAACAAUACUUUUUACAUAACAUAUCAAUAUAAAUAUUACAUCCCUGGCUAGCUGAUGGUCUGGGGAGCAACAUACUCAAAAUUCACGAAAAUCCGUUCAGUAGUUUUCGUGUCGCGUUGUGUGGAAGUUUGACCGGCUCACCGCGUGUUGGUAUCAGAUUCAGAGUUACACGAAAUUGGGGCCAAGAGCCGGUCUCCGUUCGGGUCAAUAUAGUUACAUGCGAUGUCCAGUCUCUUUACACCAUUAUCCCCCAUGAUAUUGGUUGUCAAGCCAUAAAAGAAAUCCUAACUCAGGAAGCUAGGAUUCCAGACAUUCAAAUAGAUUUUAUAAUAGAAGGUAUCAAUAUUAUUUUAAACAAUAAUUAUUUUUGGUUUUUAGACACUUUUUAUUUACAAAAAAAGAGGUACUGCUAUGGGGACUAGGUUUUCCCCUAGUUACGCUAAUUUGUUUAUGGCUGACUGGGAAAAUGAAGGCAUAUGGGGCAAUCAUACCUGGCGGGCAAACCUAGUCUCCUAUUUUAGAUAUAUAGAUGACCUUUUUUUUAUUUGGGAUGGAUCUGAAGAAAAUCUUAUCAAUUUUAUUAAUUAUUUAAAUACUAACAAUAGGGGCAUUACUCUCACAUACGAAUUUAGUAAACAAUCCAUAAAUUUUUUAGACUUAAAUAUUUUUAUUAAUAAGGGACAACUCCAAACAAAAACUUUCUUCAAAAAAGUGUGUGUAAAUACAGCUAUAGACAGAUCUAGCUGUCACUACAAGCCAUGGCUAGAAAGUGCCCCAAAGAGCCAGUUUCUACGUCUUCGUAGAAACUGCUCAGAACUCACAGAUUUUAAUGAACAAGCAGAGUUUAAAAAAAAAAAAUUUAUUGAAAAAAAUUAUUCAGAAACAGAUCUGAAUACCACAAUUAAUACAGUCAAACAAAAAGAACGAAAAGAUCUUCUGACAUAUAAAAAUAAAGAAAAUAAUGAAACUAUGCCACUUCCAGUUAUUUUUAAUUUUAAUAAUAAAAGCAAUGAUGUUAAAAAAAUAAGAAAACACUGGCACAUACUCAAACAAGAUGAGAUACUCAAAUCAAUCAUACCUACUCAUCCAAAUAUUGUUUUUAGAGGAGCACCUAAUUUUAAAUCUAUUUUAACUACAAAUUUUACAAAAAAAUCCCCUCUAAAAAAUGUAUCAUUCUUUCCUCAGACAAAAGGUUUUUUUAAAUGCAAACAAUGCAUUGUAUGUAAAACUGUAGACCAUGCUAUUUCAUCAAAAACCACAAAAUUUAUGUCAAACCAAACUAAAAAAGUGUAUGAUAUUUAUGAUUUUAUAAGCUGCCAUACGAAAAAUGUUAUCUAUCUGCUCGAGUGCCCAUGUGGCCUCCAAUAUGUGGGGAUGACCACAAGGUGCCUAAAGAUAAGAUUGAGCGAACAUUGCAGAAAUAUUAAAAAUGGAUACUUAAAUCAUACAGUAUCCAAACAUUUUAUUAUGCACAAUAAAGAUCCCCGUUUAUUAAAAUGUAUCGGUAUUAAAAAAUGUUCUACCUCUUGGCGAGGAGGUGACAUAAAAAAGCUACUUGGAAAAAUAGAGAUGGAAUGGGUGUAUAAACUUCAGACUCUUAUACCCCAUGGCCUAAAUGCAGAUUUUGAUUUACACAAUUUUUUAUGAAUUUUUAUGUCUGUACCUUUAAAUUAUGGUUUUAAUAUAAUUUAUUCCCAUAUUACCCUUUCUAUUUGCAUUGUCUUUUCCUUUUUUAAUAUAAUAAGAAUUGUUUUAAUAUUUGCAUUUAUAAUAUUGUUGCAUUUGGUGUUUCCUACUAUUAAUUCAUAUGUUUUAAGUGAAACUUCAUUUCCCAUAAGGCAUUUCGGCUAUUAUUGCCGAAAGUCACGUGACCAUUUUCAAAUGCUUAAUUUCUGUACCUUUAAAUUAUGGUUUUAAUUUAAUUUAUUCCUAUAUUACCUUUUCUAUUUGCAUUGUCUUUUCCUUUUUUAACAUAAUAUGGAUUUGUUUUAAUAUUUUUAUGUAAAAUGUUGCAUUUGGUGUUUCCUACUAUCAAUUCACAUGUUGCAAGUGAAACUUCAUUUCCCAUAAGGUAUUUCGGCUAUCAUUGCCGAAAGUCACAUGACCAUUUGUAAAUGCUCAAUUUCAGAUAGCUAGCCCCUUCGUUUAUAUGUUUUAAUCUUUGUUGCCAAACCACACUAACUUGAGAACCCCAACUAACUAUGUUAAUAUGGUUUUUGUAAUUCCCGCCGCUCUAAACUACAACUCCCAUGCGUCCUUGCGGCGGCAACUUCCGAAAUGCGGAAGUGCCGCCGGUCACGUGACUUUCUUUAAUUUGUUCAAAAUCAUAUUUCUCACCUUCGUUUUAAAUCAAAAUAUAUUUUAAAUGAGAUGUAUUACUAUAAAGUAUGUGCAAAAUAAGUUAAUUUAUAUUUUAAAUGCCAAGAAUAUGUUUUCAAUUCUGAUUGGUUGAAUCAAGUUUUGGCGCCAAAAUUCAAUUAAUUAUGCUCUUAUAUAACUUCUAUGUGCCAGGUUAACUAUGUUACUCCAUUUGAAAAAGUCCUUUUGUGACGAAACGCGUUAUGGAUAAUUGAAUAUUGUGUUUUAUACAUAUAUUAAAGUAUUUUUGGUCA